This 294-nucleotide ribosomal RNA is filed under the name uncultured microorganism. RNAcentral's name for it is "partial 16S ribosomal RNA". It matches the Rfam family "Bacterial small subunit ribosomal RNA", at positions 505 to 796 of the family's 1533-position model. The record is from RNAcentral.
GUGCCAGCAGCCGCGGUAAUACGAAGGGUGCAAGCGUUACUCGGAAUUACUGGGCGUAAAGCGUGCGUAGGUGGUUUGUUAAGUCUGAUGUGAAAGCCCUGGGCUCAACCUGGGAAAUUGCAUUGGAUACUGGCAGGCUAGAGUGCGGUAGAGGAUGGCGGAAUUCCCCGGUGUAGCAGUGAAAUGCGUAGAGAUCGGGAGGAACAUCUGUGGCGAAGGCGGCCAUCUGGACCAGCACUGACACUGAGGCACGAAAGCGUGGGGAGCAAACAGGAUUAGAUACCCUGGUAGUCC